Molecule: unclassified non-coding RNA, 637 nt
Filed under: Rhynchostegium aquaticum
Lineage: Eukaryota; Viridiplantae; Streptophyta; Bryopsida; Hypnales; Brachytheciaceae
Description: sequence contains ITS1, 5.8S rRNA gene, ITS2
Rfam family: 5.8S ribosomal RNA (bases 227-379)
Source: RNAcentral
CGGGUCGCGGCGCCUCGCGGCGUUGCGGCCGGCCGUCUCCCUUCGUCACGAAGAAGUUCUUCGUGGCGUCGGGUUUCCACGAUGCCUCACCUUGACCGAAUGACUGAGUCCCGAAUACUUGGAUACUUGGAAUGGUGAGUUCCGUCCCCUUGAGCGAGCUUGCUUGCGACGGGGGUCGGCGCUCGCCGGUUACCUUGUGACGAGUUGGAACAUAACUUUGAAAAACAACUCUCAGCAACGGAUAUCUUGGCUCUUGCAACGAUGAAGAACGCAGCGAAAUGCGAUACGUAGUGUGAAUUGCAGAAUUCCGCGAAUCAUCGAGUCUUUGAACGCAAGUUGCGCCCGAGGCUUGUCCGAGGGCAUUUCCGCUAGAGCGUCACCGCGCCCCCCACCGAUCCGCUCCCGCCGCGAGGCGCCAGUCGGUUCGAGUGGAAGUGGCCGUCCCGGUCGCGAUCUUCGCGAGUGAGGGUCGGCUGAAAUGGAUGGAAUCGGGCCGCCGUGGCGACACAGUCCGCGAUCGGGUGAUUUUUCGCGAGCCUCCCCAGGGAGGGUCGCCGUGAAUUUUUCUAAGUGNGUGGCUGCGUCCCCCAGUUGGUUUCGGUUCCCUCAUGCAGGUCGUGCGCGCCCCCGCGGCGCG